This 776-nucleotide long non-coding RNA is filed under the name Micromonas commoda. Its description in RNAcentral is "long non-coding RNA (MCOM_LNC000315)". Lineage: Eukaryota; Viridiplantae; Chlorophyta; Mamiellophyceae; Mamiellales; Mamiellaceae. The record is from RNAcentral.
GUUGUUCCUCUACGGCAAUCAGCUGACGAGCGUGCCGGCUGAGAUCGCGCAGCUCACAUCACUGAGGGAGUUGGGGUUCUACAACAGUCAGCUCACGAGCGUGCCGGCGGAGAUCGGGCAGCUUACGUCGCUGGAGAAGUGGGACCUCGGCAAAAACGAGCUGGCCAGCGUGCCGGCGGAGAUCGGGCAGCUCACGGCGCUGAGGGAAUUGAGGCUCGACGGCAAUCGGCUGACGAGCUUGCCGGCGGAGAUCGGGCAGCUCGCGUCUCUGAAAAAGUUGCUCCUCGGAUGCAAUCAGCUGACGAGCUUGCCGGCGGAUAUUGGGCAGCUCACCUCGCUGUGGGAGUUGAGGCUCGACGGCAAUCGGCUGACGAGCGUUCCAGCGGAGAUCGGGCAGCUGACCUCGCUGGAGAAGUUGGACCUCAGCGACAACCAGCUGACGAGCGUGCCGACGGAGAUCGGGCAGCUCACAUCGCUGACCGAGUUGUACCUCAACGGCAAUCAGCUGACGAGCGUGCCGGCUGAGAUCGCGCAGCUCACAUCACUGAGGGAGUUGGGGUUCUACAACAGUCAGCUCACGAGCGUGCCGGCGGAGAUCGGGCAGCUUACGUCGCUGGAGAAGUGGGACCUCGGCAAAAACGAGCUGGCCAGCGUGCCGGCGGAGAUCGGGCAGCUCACGGCGCUGAGGGAAUUGAGGCUCGACGGCAAUCGGCUGACGAGCUUGCCGGCGGAGAUCGGGCAGCUCGCGUCUCUGAAAAAGUUGCUCCUCGGAUGCA